GAUGAACGCUGGCGGCGUGCCUAAUACAUGCAAGUCGAGCGAACAGACGAGGAGCUUGCUCCUCUGACGUUAGCGGCGGACGGGUGAGUAACACGUGGAUAACCUACCUAUAAGACUGGGAUAACUUCGGGAAACCGGAGCUAAUACCGGAUAAUCUAUUGAACCGCAUGGUUCAAUAGUGAAAGACGGUUUUGCUGUCACUUAUAGAUGGAUCCGCGCCGCAUUAGCUAGUUGGUAAGGUAACGGCUUACCAAGGCAACGAUGCGUAGCCGACCUGAGAGGGUGAUCGGCCACCCUGGAACUGAGACACGGUCCAGACUCCUACGGGAGGCAGCAGUAGGGAAUCUUCCGCAAUGGGCGAAAGCCUGACGGAGCAACGCCGCGUGAGUGAUGAAGGUCUUCGGAUCGUAAAACUCUGUUAUUAGGGAAGAACAAAUGUGUAAGUAACUAUGCACGUCUUGACGGUACCUAAUCAGAAAGCCACGGCUAACUACGUG
This 497-nucleotide ribosomal RNA is filed under the name uncultured bacterium. RNAcentral's name for it is "partial 16S ribosomal RNA". It matches the Rfam family "Bacterial small subunit ribosomal RNA", at positions 28 to 507 of the family's 1533-position model. The record is from RNAcentral.